CUACGGGGGGCUCCAGUAGGGAAUAUUGGACAAUGGGCGAAAGCCUGAUCCAGCAGCACCGCGUGCACGAUGACGGCCUUCGGGUUGUAAAGUGCUUUUAGAGGAGAUGAGAAAGGACAGUAUCCUCUGAAUAAGCCUCGGCGAACUACGUGCCAGCAGCCGCGGUAAAACGUAGGAGGCAAGCGUUAUCCGGAUUUAUUGGGCGUAAAGCGCGUGCAGGCGGUCUAGCAAGUUGGAUGUGAAAGCUCCCGGCUCAACUGGGAGAGGUCGUUCAAUACUGUUAGACUAGAGAAUAGGAGAGGGAGGUGGAAUUCCGGGUGUAGUGGUGAAAUGCGUAGAUAUACGGAGGAACACCAGUGGCGAAAGCGGCCUCCUGGACUAUUUCUGACGCUAAGACGCGAAAGCUAGGGUAGCAAACGGGAUUAGAUACCCGCGUAGUC
RNAcentral lists this ribosomal RNA (440 nucleotides) under uncultured bacterium. Its description in RNAcentral is "partial 16S ribosomal RNA". It matches the Rfam family "Bacterial small subunit ribosomal RNA", at positions 339 to 795 of the family's 1533-position model. The record is from RNAcentral.